This 75-nucleotide antisense RNA is filed under the name Actinomadura pelletieri DSM 43383. Its description in RNAcentral is "ASpks TB sRNA". It matches the Rfam family "ASpks TB sRNA". The record is from RNAcentral. Lineage: Bacteria; Bacillati; Actinomycetota; Actinomycetes; Streptosporangiales; Thermomonosporaceae.
CUUGAUCGAUCCGAGCAGCAGCGGCCGGUCGUCGGGCCGGUCCCGCCCGUAGGUGGCCAGCAGCGCCUGCGCCUC